This 350-nucleotide ribosomal RNA is filed under the name uncultured bacterium. RNAcentral describes it as "bacterial SSU rRNA". It matches the Rfam family "Bacterial small subunit ribosomal RNA", at positions 8 to 350 of the family's 1533-position model. The record is from RNAcentral.
AGAGUUUGAUCAUGGCUCAGGAUGAACGCUAGCUACAGGCUUAACACAUGCAAGUCGAGGGGCAGCAUGGUCUUAGCUUGCUAAGGCCGAUGGCGACCGGCGCACGGGUGAGUAACGCGUAUCCAACCUGCCUUACACUCUUGGACAGCCUUCUGAAAAGGAGAUUAAUACAAGAUGUUAUCAUGAGUAAGCAUUUUCGCAUGAUUAAAGGUUUACCGGUGUAAGAUGGGGAUGNGUUCCCCAUUAGAUAGUAGGCGGGGUAACGGCCACCUAGUCUUCGAUGGAUAGGGGUUCUGAGAGGAAGGUCCCCACAUUGGAACUGAGACACGGUCCAAACUCCUACGGAGGCA